CACUCAGGCGGGUGCUGCAGAGCAACACACGCGCACCCACGUAAAAGAUGUGCGACUCUCACUCUUCAUAGCUAUGCUUUAUAAGUAGUGUUAUCGGACGACUACGCAGGCUUUACUGGCAGAGGCGAACGAGGCUUGUCGGCUUCUUUCCCGGGUGCUUGUACCGUCCCCACCUCCCACCUCUCUUCAAGCGCACAGAAAGCAGAAAAGCAAAGUCGUCACCGCAGAGGACUCCUCCUUGACCUUGCUCUUCUCUCUGCUGCAUUAGACGGAUUAUCCUGCGUUAGAGGGGGGGCGGGGUGCCAGGAAGGUGCAGCGCACUUGCGCUGAUCCUUCUCGCUACUCGAAAAGAGGGCAGGCGAACAGAACAUCAUACACUGCUGUGAGGAUGGACAUCUCCGCACCUCUUUUCUCGGAUGGUCUGGUGACCCUACCGGCCGCCGAGCUACGUGAGUCACUGGAGAACAUACUCAACGCUAUCGGUGCCUCUGCGUACUCGUGCUCGGAGGAGAGCAGAGCCCUUGAGGUGCAACGUCAGCGGGUUCUUGCUCUUCUAUCCAAGCUGGACGCAGGAAACGCUCCCUGCGACUCGCCGGAUACGGCAGCGUCGCGACGAGGUACUCUUCUAUCCCCAGCUACCUCGGAGGCGCGCGAUAAGCAUACGGGGCCUUUGCACAUCUCCUCCAUCAGCAGCGAGGCUGCCGAUGUACGGAGUAACGCGGCAGGGAAUGAUAUGUCCGCGACGUUUGCCGAAGCAGGCGAUGCGCGCACCACAUUUGUGCUGCAUCCAGACCAUCGCUGCCUCCUGGCCAACCUCUUUUCGAAGUCGAGACGACGCGACGUGACGGUGCCUUCGAAUUCCUCGUCGCCUUGCGUUCUAUCCCUGCCCUUGAAGCCAACUGUGGAGAAGGGCGGGUUGGAUGGUCGAGAUGAAAAUGAUUCUGUUCCAUGUGCCACAGCCGCCGUGCUACAACAGAUGGGGCAGCUGUGCUGCUCGCCUGCGGUGCUGCUUUCCCUUUCCGAGGACGGGAGGGAGCUUGUCUGUGAGGGGCAUGACGUGCCAUCAAGCGUUCCGCGACGCUGCCGUGUAGAAGUGGAUACUCCUCAAUUACAGCAGUCGCGGUUCUGCGCCAUGUCAGCGCGAGUAAAUGCUCAACGCCGUCUGCGCUGGCACAGCGAAGCGACGGAUUCGCGUAGCUUCUGGAUCAACGUGUGGCCCUGCUAUGGUGGCUCAGCGGUAUCGCGCGCUCGGCAUCCGACGCGCGUCCUCGUUCGAGGGCGAUACCGGUACUUCGAAGACGUGCUGGAGACGGCGGCGAAGCUGACCGACUGCAAGCCCGCCUCACACGCCUUCUACACGCCUGACGGAUGCCCGAUUCGUCACCUUGAGGACCUGAUCGCGGAGCACCACUACCUCCUCUUUCCCUUCGGUGGCUUCUACCGUAAGCAAUCUGUGCCAACUGCGCUUCUGUGGCUCUUGUACACUGACGCACGCCACAUCGUGCAUCACUCGUAGUGGGACGAAUCACAGCGAGAAGCAGCGGCGACGAUGAGGAGGCGCACACAUUCUAGAGCGCUGGGUGGCCUCGAUGCAUGAAGAGCGCAGGCUAUGCGCACCUCUGUGUGUGUGUGGUGGAGGAAAGAGGAAGGGGAGGGUGCGGGUAAGUUUGACUUGCAAAGGCGGCUCCUUUUUUUUUUGCUUCUUCACGGCUUGUACACUUCCUCCUCUCUUUUGCUUUUGUGUAGGCCACCCGCCAUCCCGUCUCUCCCUUUUUGUGCCCCGGCUGACCAUCGUGUUUUCUGUACGGUACUCUCCUUUUCUGUG
This 1825-nucleotide unclassified non-coding RNA is filed under the name Leishmania donovani. RNAcentral describes it as "gene:LdHU3.32.1980(CDS-product:hypothetical_prote in_conserved)". The record is from RNAcentral. Lineage: Eukaryota; Euglenozoa; Kinetoplastea; Trypanosomatida; Trypanosomatidae.